UGACAAGCAGCUUGCCACUCUAAAAGUUAAUCACAAAAUGCUUUUUCUCUGUUAAGAAUUCUGACAACUUCAAUUCCUUCAUAAUAUUAACUUGAAAACAAAACCGAAAACUUUUUAAACUUAGGCUUUUUUUUUUUUUUCUUAGUAAGACAUAUACAAACACACGAUCUGGGAUAACAGUUGUUUUAUUCAUCAAUUUCAUCCCUUGCUCUUUGUCUCAACCUUCUUCUUUUCUUUUAAACAGGAAGUAACAUCAUACUGACGGAUGAUUUUACCACAGCUAUCUCCAGUUUAUACUGAAAAGUAUACAAGAUAGCCUGCUUUAAACAUUUCAGAGUUUAGGCUCUGCUUUUUCCUUUAGAAGAGUGCAGUUCUACAUCCCGUGACCACAGCCCCGCUUCAUUUCAGCAGAUACCAUUAUCUUUUUCUUCUAGAAUUAUUUCUGUAUACCUGAGCCCAAUGAUUCAUUCACCAUUCAAUGGAAGAUAAAAUAUUUACAAUUUUAUUAUGAAACACACAUGGGACAUUGCAUGAACAGACAUAAAAUUAAGUCUGAGAUGACCAAAGUCUGGACUAAAUCUAUACUUAUGCUGCUGAAGGCAAGAAAAAUUAUUUAGUCUACAGUAAUGAUUUCCAGGAAUUUAUCUUGGUUUUGAGAGAAACAUUAAGAGCCCAAGAGUUCAUGAUAAACUAAAUCCAGCUCCGAGACUGAGAAGCAAGAAGGUUCUGGACAGGCAUUCUGUGAAGUUUCUUUCUUCUGUUUUGCUGCUAAGAGUUCCCGCUUUAACUGCCUUGCUUCUUUUCUGAGCUCUUCACUACAAAGCAAAAAAGGAAAGCCAGACUGGAUCAAGGAUGCUUACAGAAGACUGGAAGGUCAAGCAGACAUACACCCUAAUCUCCAAAAUUAUUCAAGCCAACCUCAAGCCUACAUAGUUCUACAUUGAUCCAUCCUUACAGGCACAUCCAAUCAGCCCACAGC
Molecule: long non-coding RNA, 979 nt
Organism: Mastomys coucha (southern multimammate mouse)
Lineage: Eukaryota; Metazoa; Chordata; Mammalia; Rodentia; Muridae
Exons: 4
Source: RefSeq, a predicted model, not a curated record